Long non-coding RNA from Peromyscus eremicus (cactus mouse), 531 nucleotides. RefSeq lists it as uncharacterized. The transcript has 2 exons. NCBI's taxonomy places the organism in Eukaryota, Metazoa, Chordata, Mammalia, Rodentia, Cricetidae. The record is from RefSeq and is a predicted model, not a curated record.
AAAUUAGUGUUCUUCCCUCGAACUGACUUUGACACCCAACCGGCGCCUACACACAGUGAGUCUUGGUGGUGUCAAAAUGUCCUUCCCUUUCGGGAUCUCUCUUGUCUGUAAUUAUUACCUGUAGAAGCUUUCCUGAGUCUUAAGGCUAGAUUGGGGUGUUGGCUUACGUAGAACAAUCAAAUGAUCCCACCUCCGUUUCCAGUACUGGCAACAUUCCGUGGGAAGUCAGACUGGGUAACAUGGAAUUACUUUAACUGGGGAAAAACUGAAGCUGGAGCGGAGGACUUUUAAAGAGAUACCUCGGCCUAAGGAAAUGAAGCCACUCAGAAGAAGAAAACUGCUUUGAGAAGUCUUCUGGAGCAUGCGCAGGGCUAAGAGGGUACGGGACUGUCGGGAGACAGACGAAGGAAAACCUGACUCCAGUAUGAUUUACCUAAUUAGGGGCAUCACUGAUGUUCACCAGUGGGAGACUGCACUCUCUUCGUUGGGACUACUGUUGAAUUGGUAUUAAAAGUUCUAACCAUAAUCAUA